RNAcentral lists this ribosomal RNA (3200 nucleotides) under Trachelomonas armata. RNAcentral's name for it is "LSU rRNA". It matches the Rfam family "Bacterial large subunit ribosomal RNA", at positions 1017 to 2771 of the family's 2925-position model. Lineage: Eukaryota; Euglenozoa; Euglenophyceae; Euglenales; Euglenaceae. The record is from RNAcentral.
GGGAAACAGCCCAGACUAUGAGAUAAGGCCCCUAAAUAUUUUCUAAGUGAUAAAGGAUGUAUUGGUACGUAGACAAUCAGGAGGUUGGCUUAGAAGCAGCAAUUCCUUUGAAAAGUGCGGUGUGUGUUUGAAAAAGAUAAACGAUUUCUUCGUCAUAUUUGCAAUGAUUUAAUACAUUUAUAUAUUAAAUUUUGAAUGUAAUUCCUUACCCUAAAUAAUAAUAAUAAUGGCUAAAGUCAUGGGGAAUAUUAGUAGGUAGUUAAAUUUAUUUAUUUAUUAGAUAAAGAGCAAAGGAUGUAAUUAGGUAGUUUAGAUUGGAAUAUUAAAAUUAUCAGCACUAAACGAAGUUCAGUAAUUCUGUAACAUAAUUGUGUUGUUCAAGGCGAUUAUAGUAUUACAUUAUUAACUUUAUAUUCUACUAGUUUUAGAAUCUUAGAAAUCUAUAUUUUAUUAACGUAAUAUGGAUGAUAUUUUUCUAUGGUAAACUAAGUUGUAGAUUAUUAUAAUAGAACGAGAAAUUUUGUUAAAUUUUUACUAAAUCUUAAUAGUAUUAACUUCUAUUACAUCAGGUAAAUUAUGGUUACAAACAAAACUGAUUACACGUAAAAAAAAAUAGGGCUAAAUCUAAGUAAGUCUUGUUUUAUUAAAACGAGAUUGUUAAGUCAGAAGAAUCUUUAAGAAAUUAAAAAGUUAUAUGACGUAGUUGAAAACAGUAUAAUUUCUGAUUUCUUAAUUUACAAGCGGUCAUUCGUAUGUUUUUAGUUAAUAAUUAAUUAACCAAUAACAAGUGUUAAAAAAGUUGUAUACGCUAAUGAGGUGUAGGUACAAUUUGAGGACAGACACAAAUAGGUUGUCGAGUUCCAUUAAUAGCUUACUGAUCAAGUGCCUUUGCGCCGAAAAUGAACGGGACUAAGUAAAUUGCCGAUGCCGUAGAAUUUAAAUUAUUGGUAGGAGAGCGUUCUGUUUGGAGGAAGCAAUAAUGUGAAUCGUUGUUGACAAUGCAGAAGUGAGAAUGUCGGCUUAAGUAACGAAAAUAUUGGUGAGAAUCCAAUGCUCCGAAAACUCAAGGUUUCCUUCGCUAGGUUCGUCCACGAAGGGUUAGUCAGAGUCUAAGGCUUAGUUAGUCUACGAUGCCGAUGAUCAACGGGUUAAUAUUCCUGUACUGUAAAUUAUAUAUGUUGGUGUUAAGAGUGACGGAAAAGGUUACACUACCCAAAAUUGGUUUUUGGUUUAAUAUUCUGACAUGAUGACGGAUAUUAUAAAAAGUAUCUAGAGUGAAGGAAUAGAAUGCGAUAUAACACUAUGGUGUUAGAAGUAGUUAUAUCAUGCUUCCAAGAAAAACUUUUAUAACAUUUUAAAAUGAUUUAUAUCUGUACCUUAAACUGACACAGGUGAGUUGGUUUAAACUACCCAGGAGCGCGAGAUAACUCUUUCUAAGGAACUCGGCAAAAUAACUCUGUAACUUCGGGAGAAAGAGUGCCCUUAUUUUUGGUAGUAAGGGUUGCAGUGAAUUGAUCCAUGCGACUGUUUAACAAAAACACAGGUCUCUGUUAAGUCGAAAGACAAUAUAUGGGGGCUGAGGCCUGCCCAGUGCCGGAAGGUUAAUGAAGUUGGUUAGUAUUAUACGAGGCUGAUGACUUAAGCCCUGGUGAACGGCGGCAGUAACUAUAACUGUCCUAAGGUAGCGAAAUUCCUUGUCAGGUAAGUUCUGACCCGCACAAAAGGCGUCACGAUAUGGAUACUGUCUCAGAAAGAGACUCGGUGAAAUAGAAUUGACUGUGAAGAUGCGGUCUAUUUCCACUUGGACAGAAAGACCCUAUGAAGCUUUACUAUAGCUUGAGAUUGUUUGUGAUUUCUUUUUGCGCAGUAUAGGUGGGAGACAUUGAUUUACUUUUUUUGGGAAGUAAUGAGUCAAAAUUUGAGAUACCACUCUUUAAGAAGUUGGAAACUAAUGAUAUUUUUAAUAUAUUUGACAUUUUCAGGUGGGUAGUUUUACUGGGGCGGUAGCCUCCUGUAUGACGAAGAUACUGCUCUGCAAAGUUGGAAGUAAUUAAUUUAGUAAAGUUAAUUGCGACCUUUUAACCACUAGAUAGAAGUUUCUAUAAACUAAAAUUGAAUAGUUUUAACUUUUUAUGUAAAAAUGUAACGUUCUAGUUGGUUUAGUUAAGAAAAAACAUGUAUGUAUCUGGUUAAUAUGAUUGUAAUUAUUAUUUGCGUCCUGUAAGAAUAUUACAUAAUUAUAAUAAAAAGCAGGUGAAAAUAAUAGGAGGUUAUUUACUUCGCAAUAAGUAAAGAUGUAUAAAUGGAUCGAAGUACAUGUUUGAAUAAAGUAAAUCUUUAUAUUAAUUAAAGUUUUUGCAUAGCAUAACUCGUUAAUCGUUUUUUGGUUUUCUUUAAAAAUACGUUUAGAAGUCGGUCGGAAAAUAAUAGCUACUGAUUUGUGGUAUAUUAUUAAAGUACAAUUUAAAGUUUAUUUAUUUAAUAAUACAAUAAUAAUAUAUAUUGUUAGAUGUGUACUAAAAUCAAAAUCACUAUUAAGGUAGCAAUUAAACUGGAUUAUUAAUAAAUUAUUAUACUAAAGGAGUAUUAGUGUAUAUUUCUGUCGUAAGAUUUGUCAUAAUAAAAAUUGUGUUAAAGAGAGCUGUAUAAUUAGUAAAUUAGUAUGUACAGUUCGAAGGCAAGGAGUGUAAAUAAUUAGUUAUCAUAUCCUUAGCUAUUAAAUAGUAACGGAGGCGUACAAAGGUUUCUUCAGUCUGGUCGGAAAUCAGAUGUGGAGUGUAAAGGUAUAAGGAAGCUUGACUGUAAGACAAAUAAGUCGAGCAGAGAUGAAAGUCGGUCUUAGUGAUCCGACAGUGCUGAGUGGAAAGGCUGUCGCUAAACAGAUAAAAGUUACUCUAGGGAUAACAGGCUGAUCUCCCCCAAGAGUCCACAUCGACGGGGAGGUUUGGCACCUCGAUGUCGGCUCAUCGCAUCCUGGGGCAGUAGUAUGUCCCAAGGGUUGGGCUGUUCGCCCAUUAAAGCGGUACGUGAGCUGGGUUCAGAACGUCGAGAGACAGUUCGGUCCAUAUCCGGUGGAAAACGUUAGAGCAUUGAAAAUACUUUUCCUUAGUACGAGAGGACCAGGAAAAACACACCGCUAGUGUACCAGUUUUUGUACCAGCAGAAGACGCUGGGUAGCUAUGUGUGGAGUGGAUAACUGC